This 42-nucleotide ribosomal RNA is filed under the name Chrysanthemum x morifolium (florist's daisy). RNAcentral's name for it is "partial 18S ribosomal RNA". It matches the Rfam family "Eukaryotic small subunit ribosomal RNA", at positions 1791 to 1831 of the family's 1831-position model. The record is from RNAcentral. Lineage: Eukaryota; Viridiplantae; Streptophyta; Magnoliopsida; Asterales; Asteraceae. RNAcentral also lists the same sequence under 3 other names.
GUAACAAGGUUUCCGUAGGUGAACCUGCGGAAGGAUCAUUGU